This 274-nucleotide ribosomal RNA is filed under the name uncultured bacterium. RNAcentral's name for it is "partial 16S ribosomal RNA". It matches the Rfam family "Bacterial small subunit ribosomal RNA", at positions 523 to 796 of the family's 1533-position model. The record is from RNAcentral.
AUACGGAGGGUCCAAGCGUUAUCCGGAUUCAUUGGGUUUAAAGGGUGCGCAGGCGGUUUAUUAAGUCAGUGGUGAAAUCUCGAGGCUCAACCUCGAAACUGCCAUUGAUACUGAUAAACUUGAGUUCAGUUGGAGUAGGCGGAAUGUGUAGUGUAGCGGUGAAAUGCUUAGAUAUUACACAGAACACCGAUAGCGAAGGCAGCUUACUAAACUGAUACUGACGCUGAGGCACGAAAGCGUGGGGAGCGAACAGGAUUAGAUACCCUAGUAGUCC